GUCCACGCUGUAAACGAUUAGUGCUAGGCGUUGUGGGUAUUGACCCCCGCGGUGCCGAAGUUAACACGUUAAGCACUCCGCCUGGGGAGUACGGUCGCAAGAUUAAAACUCAAAGGAAUUGACGGGGGCCCGCACAAGCGGUGGGAGCAUGUGGUUUAAUUCGACGCAACGCGAAGAACCUUACCUGGGUUUGAACUGCAGUGGACCGGUGCAGAGAUGUACCUUUCCUUCGGGACUGCUGUAGAGGUGCUGCAUGGCUGUCGU
This 264-nucleotide ribosomal RNA is filed under the name uncultured bacterium. RNAcentral's name for it is "partial 16S ribosomal RNA". It matches the Rfam family "Bacterial small subunit ribosomal RNA", at positions 793 to 1055 of the family's 1533-position model. The record is from RNAcentral.